ACGAAAUGCAUGCAUGUAGCAUUGUGCCUGAAUAAAUGAAUGAGUGAAUCAAUGAAUGGGAGGGAGAGUGAAUGCUGAGUGGGAGUCUUGGCUGUGAGGCGAGUAGGGGCAAUUCUGAUUGAGGCAUAGCCCUCUGGGGUGUUAGUGUCCAGCACCUGAGCAGAAAAAACAUGGUGGCCUGUCAAUGGGGUGUGGUUCACUGCCCCCAGGGGUGCUUGUAUGUAGGUUAGACUCAGAGUCCGGGGAGUGGCAGAGGACUCAAAAAAGACUCUCUCUGUGGGAAGACCACAUUACCACUCUGCUGGGGCAACAGCAGACAUUUCAUUCCUUGUUUUGUAGGGAUGUCAUGUGGGACAUGGGUCAGUCAAGCAAGACAGAAGUCUGGGGAUGAAGAUCGCAUACAGAGAGACAUCAAGGCCGUGGGAUCCCUGGAAGCGUUUCUGAGAGGCCGUUGUUGUCUCAAUGUUCAGAGUUCGCCACACUUCCUGCGGAGCCAUGAGGAAGGGCCAAGAAACACAGCUGUUAACUUGAAAAGGAAAUCUGAAUUCAAAAAGCAAGGAAUGGUCACACCAUCCGGGAGAGAUUAGAAGAAUCUCCAUGAGAAAGGGAGCACAGACCCUGCCAGGCACCCAACCUUCUGCCUUCAAUUCAAAAUUCUGCAGACCUUCUUGGCCUUUCAGCUAAGAUCAAGUGCAAAAUUCUGCAGCCGGUGCUCCUUUCUCAAGAUCUCUUUCCACACGUGUUCCAAGAGAAAGACGGCUGUGAGGCAGCAUGCAGAGCCUCUCAGAAUGUCCAAGACCUUCAAUACUAUUUGUUUCUUGACUUUUGGGUCCAGGGAUGGGUGGGAAAGCACUCCAGAAGGCCAGAAGGCGGGAGCUACAGCCUGGCUCCCCACGGUUCCUGUCUUCCCGCCUCGUUCCUCUGCACUGGCCAGCUGUGCAGGCAAGCCUGGAGCACAAACGAAGUUGAUUUGAAAGAGUACUUAAUUCAUAAAAACGUAACAUGCAUCAUUUUGUCGACAGGCUCACCUGCCCUUGGCAUAGAGGCGUAGGUCACCGGAGUCAGUUUCGAUCAAGGGGGAAAAAAUACUGUAGGCCAGCAUCAGAGAGUGUGAUAUCUUGUAGGAUCAUCUUUCAUACGGGCAAACAUCCCAAAUUACUGCUUAUGUAAUGAAACAUCAUAAUAAACCAUUGUAUUAAACACCA
RNAcentral lists this long non-coding RNA (1205 nucleotides) under Ursus maritimus (polar bear). RNAcentral describes it as "lncRNA (ENSUMAG00000022783.1)". Lineage: Eukaryota; Metazoa; Chordata; Mammalia; Carnivora; Ursidae. The record is from RNAcentral.